UCGAUUGGAUGCCUCUGAUCAAGGUAUCCUCGAGAAUGAGUUUUGGCACGAGCCAAGUUUUUAAGAAAUUCAUAAGCCAUGUUGAUUAUUUGAGUGAAAUGAAUUUAGUUUAUUUAGUUGAAAUGAGUUUGAAACGUUAUGAAUCAUAGUACGAUGAACUAUUUUAAGUUGUCUCCAUUUACUUGACUUUAGAUAUUUUAGAUGAUAUUUGUUUACUCACUGAGUUUAUAUAAACUCACCACCCUCAUUUCCACUCAUU
Molecule: long non-coding RNA, 259 nt
Filed under: Theobroma cacao (cacao)
Lineage: Eukaryota; Viridiplantae; Streptophyta; Magnoliopsida; Malvales; Malvaceae
Description: long non-coding RNA (TCAC_LNC001008)
Source: RNAcentral